UACAGGGGGGGGCAAGCGUUGUUCGGAAUUACUGGGCGUAAAGGGCUCGUAGGCGGCCAACUAAGUCACACGUGAAAUCCCCAGGCUUAACCUGGGAACUGCGUGUGAUACUGGAUGGCUUGAAUCCGGGAGAGGGAUGCGGAAUUCCAGGUGUAGCGGUGAAAUGCGUAGAUAUCUGGAGGAACACCGGUGGCGAAGGCGGCAUCCUGGACCGGUAUUGACGCUGAUGAGCGAAAGCCAGGGGGAGCAAACGGG
Molecule: ribosomal RNA, 255 nt
Filed under: uncultured bacterium
Lineage: Bacteria
Description: partial 16S ribosomal RNA
Rfam family: Bacterial small subunit ribosomal RNA
Source: RNAcentral